UACAGAGGUCUCAAGCGUUGUUCGGAUUCAUUGGGCGUAAAGGGCGCGUAGGCUGCGGGGCAAGUCGGGUGUGAAAUCUCAGAGCUCAACUCUGAAACUGCACUCGAUACUGCUUUGCUUGAGGACUGGAGAGGAGAUUGGAAUUCACGGUGUAGCAGUGAAAUGCGUAGAUAUCGUGAGGAAGACCAGUGGCGAAGGCGGAUCUCUGGACAGUUCCUGACGCUGAGGCGCGAAGGCCAGGGGAGCAAAUGGG
RNAcentral lists this ribosomal RNA (253 nucleotides) under uncultured bacterium. Its description in RNAcentral is "partial 16S ribosomal RNA". It matches the Rfam family "Bacterial small subunit ribosomal RNA", at positions 524 to 776 of the family's 1533-position model. The record is from RNAcentral.